CCCCUAGAUGUUCUGGGCCGCACGCGCGCUACACUGAACAGUUCAACAAGUCUUAACCUUGGCCGAUAGGUCUGGGUAAUCUUUGAACGCUGUUCGUGAUUGGGAUAGACCUUUGCAAUUAUGGGUCUUCAACGAGGAAUUCCUAGUAAACGCAAGUCAUCAGCUUGCAUUGAUUACGUCCCUGCCCUUUGUACACACCGCCCGUCGCACCUACCGAUUGAAUGGUCCGGUGAAAUCUCGGGACGGCGGCUUGGUCGCUUGCGUCCGACUGCUGAAACUUGAUUAAACCAUAUCAUUCAGAGGAAGGUGAAGUCGUAACA
This 320-nucleotide ribosomal RNA is filed under the name uncultured eukaryote. RNAcentral describes it as "partial 18S ribosomal RNA". It matches the Rfam family "Eukaryotic small subunit ribosomal RNA", at positions 1470 to 1796 of the family's 1831-position model. The record is from RNAcentral.